Molecule: ribosomal RNA, 652 nt
Filed under: uncultured Geopora
Lineage: Eukaryota; Fungi; Ascomycota; Pezizomycetes; Pezizales; Pyronemataceae
Description: eukaryotic LSU rRNA
Rfam family: 5.8S ribosomal RNA (bases 276-429)
Source: RNAcentral
UAGAGGAAGUAAAAGUCGUAACAAGGUUUCCGUAGGUGAACCUGCGGAAGGAUCAUUAAUUGAAUGACCAUGUUUCUCAGCAUGAUAUUUCAAACCCCACGUGUCUAUCUUACCUGUUGCUUCCGUGCUGCACAUGCUGCCAAGGUGUGCCUUCCGGUCCCUGGGGGUAUUCAGGUACCCUCCAUGGCCCUGGGGAGGAGCCGGCACGGGAGGUUAACCCACAAACUCUUGCCUUUGAAUGCCUUUCGUCUGAACUGUAGUACAUGAAAAGUUAAAACUUUCAACAACGGAUCUCUUGGUUCUCGCAUCGAUGAAGAACGCAGCGAAAUGCGAUAAGUAGUGUGAAUUGCAGAAUUCCGUGAAUCAUCGAAUCUUUGAACGCACAUUGCGCCUCCUGGUAAUCCGUGAGGCAUGCCUGUCCGAGCGUCAGUAAAAAGCAACUCAGCCGCGGCUGGCGGUUGGUGAUGGAGGAAGAGCACGUCUCGUUGUCGGUCUCCCCUCCCAAAAUCAACGGCGGAACGUCACUGGCACUCGGUGUUGUAGUAUUAUUCGCCGAUCACCCAGUGUUGUUCCUGCCACCCAAACCCCCAUAAUUCUCUUGAUUGACCUCGGAUCAGGUAGGGAUACCCGCUGAACUUAAGCAUAUCAAUAA